CCCUCGGUCGUCUAGUUGGUUUAUGGCGUCCGGCUGUAAUAGAACAGUCUCACCGGAAUGGUUAGUGAUCAACCACUCCAAAAGCAAAAAAUGCUCUCAGUCAAUUGCUAACAAUUGAACAGUCGCGCGUUCGACUCGCGCCUGAGGGA
Non-coding RNA from Mollisia scopiformis, 149 nucleotides. NCBI's taxonomy places the organism in Eukaryota, Fungi, Ascomycota, Leotiomycetes, Helotiales, Mollisiaceae. The record is from the annotation of a RefSeq genome assembly.